UACGUAGGGCGCAAGCGUUAUCCGGAAUUAUUGGGCGUAAAGAGCUCGUAGGCGGUUUGUCGCGUCUGCCGUGAAAGUCCGGGGCUCAACUCCGGAUCUGCGGUGGGUACGGGCAGACUAGAGUGAUGUAGGGGAGACUGGAAUUCCUGGUGUAGCGGUGAAAUGCGCAGAUAUUAGGAGGAACACCGAUGGCGAAGGCAGGUCUCUGGGCAUUAACUGGCGCUGAGGAGCGAAAGCAUGGGGAGCGAACAGG
RNAcentral lists this ribosomal RNA (253 nucleotides) under uncultured bacterium. RNAcentral's name for it is "partial 16S ribosomal RNA". It matches the Rfam family "Bacterial small subunit ribosomal RNA", at positions 524 to 776 of the family's 1533-position model. The record is from RNAcentral.